RNAcentral lists this ribosomal RNA (200 nucleotides) under uncultured prokaryote. RNAcentral's name for it is "partial 16S ribosomal RNA". It matches the Rfam family "Bacterial small subunit ribosomal RNA", at positions 1184 to 1382 of the family's 1533-position model. The record is from RNAcentral.
GUCAAAUCAUCAUGCCCCUUAUGUCUUGGGCUUCACACGUACUACAAUGACGGUCAUACAGAGGGGUGCAAAGCGGCGACGCGGAGCAAAUCCCUAAAAGCCGUCUCAGUUCAGAUUGCAGGCUGCAACUCGCCUGCAUGAAGUCGGAAUUGCUAGUAAUCGCGGAUCAGCAUGCCGCGGUGAAUACGUUCCCGGGUCUU